RNAcentral lists this small RNA (163 nucleotides) under Arabidopsis thaliana (thale cress). RNAcentral describes it as "ATSL040160". Lineage: Eukaryota; Viridiplantae; Streptophyta; Magnoliopsida; Brassicales; Brassicaceae. The record is from RNAcentral.
AUAAUACUUUAAGAAGCAAGAAGAAUAUUGGUUUACGUUUCUGAGUCAAAUAUGACUAGAUGUCAUGUGUAUGAUUGAGUAUAAGAACUAGAACCGCAACCGGUUCCCAAAAGCUAAAGCAGUAUUUCCUUGUUAGAAGAUACAAAGCCAAAGACUCAUUCAG